Long non-coding RNA from Pan troglodytes (chimpanzee), 2528 nucleotides. The record is from Ensembl. NCBI's taxonomy places the organism in Eukaryota, Metazoa, Chordata, Mammalia, Primates, Hominidae.
AUGAGAAUGUUUGUUUGCUUGGUUUCUCUGCUAAUCUCAGUGCUGGGAGCAGGUGCCUGCUUGGCAGCUCUGGAGUCCUGGACCAUCUCAGAAGAGCUACAGUCAUUUACUUGCUAUGGAUCCUUGAAUCUAAUAGCAGUCCUGUUAUUACGAAGAGCUGGUGAUGGUCUGAGAACCAUAUAUCUUAGAGUUGGAAGAGACUUCAUGAUAUCAUGGUAAGCCACCUGCUUUAGGGCAACUAAGCUACCAUUAUUUCCAUUUACAGGUGAAAUCAUUGAAGACAAUUCCAGCGAUCAAAUAAAGAUAAUACAUUUGGUUAGUAGCAGAUAAUAAUAUCCAACAUUUUAAGUGUUUUCCAUGUGUCAGGCAUUGUUUUUAGUGUAUAGUUCAUUUAAUUUCCAGAACCUUAUGAAGUAGGUAUCAUUAUUAUCCUGUUUUAAAGAAGAGAAAACAGAGACAGAAAGGUUAACUAACUUGCCCAAGGCAGUACUGCUAGUAAGUUAUCAGAACCAGGUAUCUGCACCUUAGUGUAGAUACUACUGUGAACCCAGAAAGUCUGAUUCCCAAGCCUAAAUAUUUAGUCACCAUGUUAUAUCAUUUAGUGGUCAGAAUAAGAAUCAAAUUCUCCUCUCCUGGUGGUUUAGUGAAGUGGUUCCUAGCUAUUUUCAGGGCCUAUGAAUCUCUCUCUAUAUAUAUAUUCCAAGCAUUAUCUGUAGACUAAAAACAUUAAUGUGAUCAACAAAUAUUAUUACAUGAAUAUUAGUGUUUGAGUAAGUAAACUAUAAAUUCCUUCAAAAGCAUUAAUGAAUUGGCUGGACAUGGUGGCUUAUGCCUGUAAUCCCAGCACUUUGGGAGGCCAAGGUGGGUGGAUCACUUGAAGUCAGGAGUUCAAGACCAGCCUGGCCAACAUGGUGAAACCCUGUCUCUACCAAAAAUACAAAAAUUAGCCAGUCGUGGUGGCAGGCACCUGUAAUCCCAGCUACUCGGGAGGCUGAGGCAGGAGAAUCACUUGAACCUGGGAGAUAGAGGUUGUCGUGAGCCAGGAUUGCACCACUGCACUGCAGCCUGGGUGACAGAGACAGACUCUAUCGCAAAAAUAAAUAAAAGCAUUAAUGAAUUAAAAUUGGCUUCUUGUCGUGAUUCAUUUUAUUAAACCAGGGGCUAAAAAAAGAACAACAACCCUUUUGUGGGAGUGUGAAAUAUUUUGAACUAUUUCAGGGGUCCUUAUAUUCAUGAAGAUUGGGAAUCACAGGUGUCUUAGUCAAUUAAGGCAGCUAAAGCAACAUAGGACAGACUGGGUGGUUUACAGAACAAAUAUUUAUUGCUGAUAGUUCUGGAGGCUGGGAAGUCCUGGAUCAAGGAACUGGCAGAUUCAGUGUCUGGUGAGGGCCCCGUUCCUGAUUUGCAGAUGGCUGACUUCUUUUUGUCCUCUAAUGGCAGAGAGACAGAUCACAUCUCUCAUGUCUCUUCUUAUAAGGGCGCUAAUCCCAUCAUUAGGGCUCCACCCGUAAUUACCUCACAAAAUUCUCACCUCUGAAUACCAUCACAUUGGGAUUAGGGUUCCAACGUGUAAAUUUCGGGAAGACACAAACAUUCAGGCCAUAGCAACAGGUAUAGGAAAAAGAGCUGAAUUUGGAGUCAGACAGACUUGGGUUUGCGUCUUGGCUUCUGUUUACUUCCUAGCUGAGAGAUCUUGGGCAAGUCCCUUAAUCAUCUGAGCUUCAGUUUCCUCAUCUGCAAAACGGUUUUUCUACAACUUAUCCACAGUGUUGUUGGGAGUCUCAGAUGUAGCAGUGUGUGUGAGAAUAUUUUGUAAAACAAAAACCCAUAGAAUUCCUUAGGAAUAAGAACUAUAAUGACUAUUAUUCCUCUAUAAUACUCAAGGAAUCAAUUUUAGUCCUGAAUAUGUCCUUAUGUCAAUUUUGCCUGUGGCCUUUUUGUACACCUUUCUUUACCUUUGUCAUUACUGUGAUACCAAGCUGAGGAAAUAGGUCAAUUUACAAGAAAAUAAUAUCCAUCCCUGGCAUGAGUUGUCUCCACUUUCCAGUCAUGCCUGGAAUAGCACAUCCUUUGUAAGAUGAGGACUUUGGGUGGUAAAGAGGAAAAGAAGAUGGCAUUUCAGCUCUUCUGUAGCUUUGACUUCAUCCAACCACUUUGAGUAGAUCAAAGCUAUUCUGGGAGGCCCGACAUCAUGUUUUUUUUCUAGGCUGAGAACUAGAGAUGGAAGAAUGUAGCCCAGCCAAAGAAAGGAACUGUUCUGUCUUUCUCCCACAUUUCUCUCCUUUCCCAGCCUUCCAAUCUCUGUUGGGGGCACUAUUUUUUGAAGCAGAAACCUACAAAAGGACAGACAAGAUCCAUCGUUGGCCUUCUGAGUGGCAUGGAAACGUUCUGGGGCCUAUUUUGUGCAGAUAACAUGGUGAAGUAGCCAGCCAGGAUACUCCUGUCAGUGGAUCCAAGGGCUUCAGUGGAAUUGUGUCUGAACAGCAGGGACAAGCUUGAGGGAACCUCAGUUACAGCCCUAGUCUGAC